RNAcentral lists this ribosomal RNA (253 nucleotides) under uncultured bacterium. RNAcentral's name for it is "partial 16S ribosomal RNA". It matches the Rfam family "Bacterial small subunit ribosomal RNA", at positions 524 to 777 of the family's 1533-position model. The record is from RNAcentral.
UACGAAGGGGGCUAGCGUUGUUCGGAAUUACCGGGCGUAAAGGGCGCGUAGGCGGUUGCUCAAGUCAGGCGUGAAAGCCCCGGGCUCAACCUGGGAACCGCGCUUGAGACUGGGCGGCUUGAGUUCGGGAGAGGUGAGUGGAAUUCCCAGUGUAGAGGUGAAAUCGUAGAUAUUGGGAAGAACACCGGUGGCGAAGGCGGCUCACUGGCUCGUUUCUGACGCUCAGGCGCGACAGCGUGGGGAUCAAACAAGG